Molecule: long non-coding RNA, 379 nt
Organism: Eucalyptus grandis
Lineage: Eukaryota; Viridiplantae; Streptophyta; Magnoliopsida; Myrtales; Myrtaceae
Exons: 2
Source: RefSeq, a predicted model, not a curated record
CCGAUCAGCCCCGUCAAAGCAAACCCGCGAGUGGGUUUCCAGGUAGUUAAAGGCCGUUUUGGGCCGUUUAGGGCCUCGGAUCCGUGAGUCGCUUUGGGAACAAUCGUUCCUCGCGUCGCCGCCGUCGGAUUGAUCCGAUUUGGACCCCGCUAAGGAGCUGAGGUGGAAGAGUUGGAGAAGGAUUUUUGGGAGAAGAAGACAAUCACGAGAGGGGCCGUGAGUACGGCCAAGAUGGACUGAAACUUUAUCUUCUUUGAUAUCUCCAUUUUGAUGUGAAUAGAGUUUAGAAUAAAAAGAUGUGAAGUGUUCUGGUUUGUGGUUUGUAUAAAAGUUUGGUUAUAAAUUUCAAUAUGAAAAAUAUGGCCUUGCUUUUCUAUCC